Molecule: ribosomal RNA, 1346 nt
Filed under: uncultured bacterium
Lineage: Bacteria
Description: bacterial SSU rRNA
Rfam family: Bacterial small subunit ribosomal RNA
Source: RNAcentral
GACGAACGCUGGCGGCGUGCUUAACACAUGCAAGUCGAACGGAAAGGCCCUGCUUUUGUGGGGUGCUCGAGUGGCGAACGGGUGAGUAACACGUGAGUAACCUGCCCUUGACUUUGGGAUAACUUCAGGAAACUGGGGCUAAUACCGGAUAGGAGCUCCUGCUGCAUGGUGGGGGUUGGAAAGUUUCGGCGGUUGGGGAUGGACUCGCGGCUUAUCAGCUUGUUGGUGGGGUAGUGGCUUACCAAGGCUUUGACGGGUAGCCGGCCUGAGAGGGUGACCGGCCACAUUGGGACUGAGAUACGGCCCAGACUCCUACGGGAGGCAGCAGUGGGGAAUAUUGCACAAUGGGCGGAAGCCUGAUGCAGCAACGCCGCGUGCGGGAUGACGGCCUUCGGGUUGUAAACCGCUUUCGCCUGUGACGAAGCGUGAGUGACGGUAAUGGGUAAAGAAGCACCGGCUAACUACGUGCCAGCAGCCGCGGUGAUACGUAGGGUGCGAGCGUUGUCCGGAUUUAUUGGGCGUAAAGGGCUCGUAGGUGGUUGAUCGCGUCGGAAGUGUAAUCUUGGGGCUUAACCCUGAGCGUGCUUUCGAUACGGGUUGACUUGAGGAAGGUAGGGGAGAAUGGAAUUCCUGGUGGAGCGGUGGAAUGCGCAGAUAUCAGGAGGAACACCAGUGGCGAAGGCGGUUCUCUGGGCCUUUCCUGACGCUGAGGAGCGAAAGCGUGGGGAGCGAACAGGCUUAGAUACCCUGGUAGUCCACGCUGUAAACGGUGGGUACUAGGUGUGGGGUCCAUUCCACGGGUUCCGUGCCGUAGCUAACGCUUUAAGUACCCCGCCUGGGGAGUACGGCCGCAAGGCUAAAACUCAAAGGAAUUGACGGGGCCCCGCACAAGCGGCGGAGCAUGCGGAUUAAUUCGAUGCAACGCGUAGAACCUUACCUGGGUUUGACAUGGAUCGGGAGCGCUCAGAGAUGGGUGUGCCUCUUUUGGGGUCGGUUCACAGGUGGUGCAUGGCUGUCGUCAGCCCGUGUCGUGAGAUGUUGGGUUAAGUCCCGCAACGAGCGCAACCCUUGUUCACUGUUGCCAGCACGUUAUGGUGGGGACUCAGUGGAGACCGCCGGGGUCAACUCGGAGGAAGGUGGGGAUGACGUCAAGUCAUCAUGCCCCUUAUGUCCAGGGCUUCACGCAUGCUACAAUGGCUGGUACAGAGAGUGGCGAGCCUGUGAGGGUGAGCGAAUCUCGGAAAGCCGGUCUCAGUUCGGAUUGGGGUCUGCAACUCGACCUCAUGAAGUCGGAGUCGCUAGUAAUCGCAGAUCAGCAACGCUGCGGUGAAUACGCUCCCGGGGCU